This 73-nucleotide transfer RNA is filed under the name Schizosaccharomyces pombe (fission yeast). RNAcentral describes it as "tRNA Isoleucine (gau), mitochondrial". It matches the Rfam family "tRNA". From Rfam's summary of the family: Transfer RNA (tRNA) molecules are approximately 80 nucleotides in length. Their secondary structure includes four short double-helical elements and three loops (D, anti-codon, and T loops). Further hydrogen bonds mediate the characteristic L-shaped molecular structure. tRNAs have two regions of fundamental functional importance: the anti-codon, which is responsible for specific mRNA codon recognition, and the 3' end, to which the tRNAs corresponding amino acid is attached (by aminoacyl-tRNA synthetases). tRNAs cope with the degeneracy of the genetic code in two manners: having more than one tRNA (with a specific anti-codon) for a particular amino acid; and 'wobble' base-pairing, i.e. permitting non-standard base-pairing at the 3rd anti-codon position. Lineage: Eukaryota; Fungi; Ascomycota; Schizosaccharomycetes; Schizosaccharomycetales; Schizosaccharomycetaceae. The record is from RNAcentral.
AGUUCUUUAACUUAAAAGGUCAGAGUGCAGACUUGAUAAGUCUGUGGUAUUGGUUCGAUUCCAAUAAGAACUA